GGAGCUCCCAGAGGCGGUGGCGGGGGCGCCAGGGGGCGUCCUCCCAGCCCCGGGGACCGGACUGUGCACCUGGUGGCUGCAGGAGCUGCACUGUGGACUCCCCGGCCAGAUGGAAGCUUUCAGGUCCUUCAUUCCAGAGUUGACUGCCCAUCCAGCUCUUGAGCCCUCGGGACCCGUGCUCAGUUUUAUGAACUGAAGGCUUGGCCAGCAGUUGAUUUCUACAGGAUCCAAAGCACAUUGAUUGAGAGUUUGAAACACUGGACUGUAUCAUUUACUCCUGAAAUUGUUUCUCCAUCCCUCUGCCAUCAGCAACUGACUCCAUCUUGCAUACAGUUGCCCAUGAUUCAGUUGAGAAAAUGUCUAACUAUGUUCAUCUCAAGCCUCAUGCUUAUUUUUUAAUCCUUGUCAUUUGGUUUUCAAAGCAGUUUGUUAUUGAGGUAGGACUGGGGAGGGGGGUUGCCCAAGAUAUGCACAUUAUAUAUGAGAGUGAGAAAGAAUUUCUAAUUGAAUUCCAUCUACUUUACUCUGUUGAAGGUUAUGAAAAACAAUGAAGUGCUCUCUUUCUAGGAUAAUAACAGGUAUGGUUAAGUUUAUUCCCUUUGUCUCCUGAAUUUACUAGGAUUCUGAAGUAGAAAAAAGUGUAUCUUUUGAUCACUUAUAAACAUUUUUAGGAGUUCCCGUCGUGGUGCAGUGGUUAACGAAUCCGACUAGGAACCAUGAGGUUGCGGGUUCGGUCCCUGCCCUUGCUCAGUGGGUUAACGAUCCGGUGUUGCCAUGAGCUGUGGUGUAGGUCACAGACGCGGCUCGGAUCCUGCGUUGCUGUGCCUCUGGCGUAGGCCGGUGGCUACAGCUCCGAUUCGACCCCUAGCCUGGGAACCUCCAUAUGCCGUGGGAAUGGCCCAAGAAAAUAGCAAAAAAAAAAGACAAAAAAAAACAAACAAAAAACAACAUUUUUAAAUUGGUCAGUGAAAGCUAAAUAACACAAAUCAUUAACUUCACCUCCAGAAAGUUCAGACUCAAGUAUUUAAUGUACAAUUGUAAUAUCUCACUCCAGUGUUGCUUAGAUGCAACUCUCCUCCCUCUAUUGUUCCUGGGUUUAUUAAAAUGAAUUUGAGAUAAAUUUGCUAGUUCCUAGAACUAUUCAUGUUUCUAUGUUCUUUUGCAUUCAUUCCUUGUUCAACCAUUUACAAAUUUUCAUAAGGCUUUUAUUUGGAGUUCUGCUUUUCUUAAUUUAGAUAAAUAUUAUAACCUUGACAUAUUUUAUGUCUCAACUAUAUGGUUUAUAUAUAUGUUAGUGGGGGGGAAAUCCCUCCUUUAUGAAAGUAGGAUGUGUAUAAAACAUAGUCAUCCUUAGGUA
RNAcentral lists this long non-coding RNA (1357 nucleotides) under Sus scrofa (pig). RNAcentral's name for it is "lncRNA (ENSSSCG00025066741.1, ENSSSCG00065040290.1)". Lineage: Eukaryota; Metazoa; Chordata; Mammalia; Artiodactyla; Suidae. The record is from RNAcentral.